This 460-nucleotide ribosomal RNA is filed under the name uncultured bacterium. RNAcentral's name for it is "bacterial SSU rRNA". It matches the Rfam family "Bacterial small subunit ribosomal RNA", at positions 954 to 1415 of the family's 1533-position model. The record is from RNAcentral.
GCUUAACGCGAAGAACCUUACCAGGUCUUGUAUCCUCACUAUGAUUUUCAGAGAUGAAUUUCUUCACUUCGGGUGGGUGAGAGACAGGUGUUGCAUGGCUGUCGUCAGCUCGUGUCGUGAGAUGUUAGGUUAAGUCCUUCAACGAGCGCAACCCUCAUCCUUAUUUGCCAACAGGUUAAGCUGGGAACUAUAAGGAAACUGCCAACGACAAGUUGGAGGAAGGUGGGGAUGAUGUCAAGUCAUCAUGGCCCUUAUGGCCUGGGCUACACACAUGCUACAAUGGUGGUUACAGCAGGAUGCGAAGGAGUAAUCUGGAGCUAAUCCCUAAAAGCCAUCUCAGUUCAGAUUGAGGGCUGCAACUCGCCCUCAUGAAGUUGGAAUUGCUAGUAAUCGUGGAUCAGCACGCCACGGUGAAUACGUUCUCGGGUCUUGUACACACCGAGUCGGUGGGGGAGGGCAA